UGCUUUCCCUGUCUUAUCUCCUUUUCCUCUUUCCUUCAUUGAAGAUGUUAGACCCAUCACAGUAGCUGCCAUCUGUGAAAAUGGGCUGAAGGGAAUUAGUGACAUCUGUCUCAGUGAGCAUCUGGUGACAGCCCAACAAUACACAGGCACAGAGAAGGACCACAUCUUUCUGGAUCCCCGUGGAUUGAAGAGCUUGCCUCUGGAGCCCUUCAGUAUUCAGAAUAAGCUUGAAUGAUUUUUAUGAGGUCUGGAGGCUGAGAAGUCCAGUACCAUGCUGCCUGCUGGUAGAUUCGGUGUCUGGUGAGAACCCACUUCCUAAGCAGCUAUUCCCUCAUUAAGGGGGAAGGAGCUGGGGAGCUCUUUUAUAAGGUGAGAAACCACAGAAACACAGAAGAGAAAAACCAUUUUUGUAUACGCAAACUUUUGGAUCCUGGAAAGAUUAUGAGCUCUGGAUGAAGCAGGCCUAUCCUUGGAUCCUGCCUCUACUGCUUAAAGUCGCUAUGG
Molecule: long non-coding RNA, 504 nt
Organism: Hyaena hyaena (striped hyena)
Lineage: Eukaryota; Metazoa; Chordata; Mammalia; Carnivora; Hyaenidae
Exons: 4
Source: RefSeq, a predicted model, not a curated record